Molecule: long non-coding RNA, 426 nt
Filed under: Ananas comosus (pineapple)
Lineage: Eukaryota; Viridiplantae; Streptophyta; Magnoliopsida; Poales; Bromeliaceae
Description: long non-coding RNA (ACOM_LNC002701)
Source: RNAcentral
AUUUCAAACCUUUUUUUUAGAUUUUGAAAAUUCAAAUAGUUUUUUAACUUUUGGACCUUUAGUAAUGCGCAUAAAUACAGAUACAGAUACAGAUAAAGAUAUGUACUCCAUAAAUGUACUGUUUAAUAUUUCCUUUCUGGAAGAAUAUAACUAUAUUUAGAAAAAAAAAAGUAGGACCCACCUCUUGGGUUAAAAACUAACCCUAGUUAGGGUUUUUAAGAAAUUCAAAACAAAUCUAGGUUUAAUUGCAGAUAUAUCCUUACAAACUAGUAAAAUCACACAAGGAUUUCUCCAAAAAUAUGAUCAUUCUAUUUUUCAAUAGAUAUCUUUUUAACUAUUCUUAAUAUUAUCUUCUACUCAUAAUAAUUCUGUUAUAAUUCUCAGUAAAUAAAUUUUCAUAUUUUAAAACUUUACAAAAACAAAUUU